Molecule: ribosomal RNA, 800 nt
Filed under: uncultured bacterium
Lineage: Bacteria
Description: bacterial SSU rRNA
Rfam family: Bacterial small subunit ribosomal RNA
Source: RNAcentral
UGCUUCUCUUGAGAGCGGCGGACGGGUGAGUAAUGCCUAGGAAUCUGCCUAGUGGUGGGGGAUAACGUUCGGAAACGGACGCUAAUACCGCAUACGUCCUACGGGAGAAAGCGGGGGAUCUUCGGACCUCGCGCCAUUAGAUGAGCCUAGGUCGGAUUAGCUAGUUGGUGAGGUAAUGGCUCACCAAGGCGACGAUCCGUAACUGGUCUGAGAGGAUGAUCAGUCACACUGGAACUGAGACACGGUCCAGACUCCUACGGGAGGCAGCAGUGGGGAAUAUUGGACAAUGGGCGAAAGCCUGAUCCAGCCAUGCCGCGUGUGUGAAGAAGGUCUUCGGAUUGUAAAGCACUUUAAGUUGGGAGGAAGGGUAGUAACUUAAUACGUUGCUACUUUGACGUUACCGACAGAAUAAGCACCGGCUAACUUCGUGCCAGCAGCCGCGGUAAUACGAAGGGUGCAAGCGUUAAUCGGAAUUACUGGGCGUAAAGCGCGCGUAGGUGGUUCAGUAAGUUGGAAGUGAAAUCCCCGGGCUCAACCUGGGAACUGCUUUCAAAACUGCUGAGCUAGAGUACGGUAGAGGGUGGUGGAGUUUCCUGUGUAGCGGUGAAAUGCGUAGAUAUAGGAAGGAACACCAGUGGCGAAGGCGACCACCUGGACUGAUACUGACACUGAGGUGCGAAAGCGUGGGGAGCAAACAGGAUUAGAUACCCUGGUAGUCCACGCCGUAAACGAUGUCAACUAGCCGUUGGAAUCCUUGAGAUUUUAGUGGCGCAGCUAACGCAUUAAGUUGACCGCCUGGG